AUUGAACGCUGGCGGCAUGCCUAACACAUGCAAGUCGAACGGCAGCACGGCAGUAGCAAUACUGUGGGUGGCGAGUGGCGGACGGGUGAGGAAUACGUCGGAAUCUGCCCAGUCGUGGGGGAUAACUAGCCGAAAGGUUAGCUAAUACCGCAUACGACCGAGAGGUGAAAGCGGGGGACCGCAAGGCCUCGCGCGAUUGGAUGAGCCGACGUCGGAUUAGCUAGUUGGAGGGGUAAAGGCCCACCAAGGCGACGAUCCGUAGCUGGUCUGAGAGGAUGAUCAGCCACACUGGAACUGAGACACGGUCCAGACUCCUACGGGAGGCAGCAGUGGGGAAUAUUGGACAAUGGGCGCAAGCCUGAUCCAGCAAUGCCGCGUGUGUGAAGAAGGCCUCGGUUGUAAG
This 403-nucleotide ribosomal RNA is filed under the name uncultured bacterium. Its description in RNAcentral is "bacterial SSU rRNA". It matches the Rfam family "Bacterial small subunit ribosomal RNA", at positions 29 to 429 of the family's 1533-position model. The record is from RNAcentral.